GAGAGCGGCGGACGGGUGAGUAAUGCCUAGGAAUCUGCCUGGUAGUGGGGGAUAACGUUCGGAAACGGACGCUAAUACCGCAUACGUCCUACGGGAGAAAGCAGGGGACCUUCGGGCCUUGCGCUAUCAGAUGAGCCUAGGUCGGAUUAGCUAGUUGGUGAGGUAAUGGCUCACCAAGGCGACGAUCCGUAACUGGUCUGAGAGGAUGAUCAGUCACACUGGAACUGAGACACGGUCCAGACUCCUACGGGAGGCAGCAGUGGGGAAUAUUGGACAAUGGGCGAAAGCCUGAUCCAGCCAUGCCGCGUGUGUGAAGAAGGUCUUCGGAUUGUAAAGCACUUUAAGUUGGGAGGAAGGGUUGUAGAUUAAUACUC
Molecule: ribosomal RNA, 374 nt
Filed under: Pseudomonas sp. DB2-24
Lineage: Bacteria; Pseudomonadati; Pseudomonadota; Gammaproteobacteria; Pseudomonadales; Pseudomonadaceae
Description: bacterial SSU rRNA
Rfam family: Bacterial small subunit ribosomal RNA
Source: RNAcentral